Molecule: ribosomal RNA, 295 nt
Filed under: uncultured bacterium
Lineage: Bacteria
Description: partial 16S ribosomal RNA
Rfam family: Bacterial small subunit ribosomal RNA
Source: RNAcentral
GGAUUAGAUACCCUGGUAGUCCACGCCGUAAACGAUGAGAACUGGAUGUUGGGUGCUAUAUAUGCACUUAGUGUCGUAGCUAACGCGUUAAGUUCUCCGCCUGGGGAGUACGGCCGCAAGGUUGAAACUCAAAGGAAUUGACGGGGGCCCGCACAAGCGGUGGAGCAUGUGGUUUAAUUCGAUGCAACGCGAAGAACCUUACCAGCCCUUGACAUCCUCGGAACUUUCCAGAGAUGGAUUGGUGCCUUCGGGAGCCGAGUGACAGGUGCUGCAUGGCUGUCGUCAGCUCGUGCCG